RNAcentral lists this ribosomal RNA (391 nucleotides) under Acanthamoeba castellanii. Its description in RNAcentral is "SSU rRNA". It matches the Rfam family "Eukaryotic small subunit ribosomal RNA", at positions 753 to 1114 of the family's 1831-position model. The record is from RNAcentral. Lineage: Eukaryota; Discosea; Longamoebia; Acanthamoebidae.
UACCGUGAAAAAAUUAGAGUGUUCAAAGCAGGCAGAUUCAAUUUUCUGCCACCGAAUACAUUAGCAUGGGAUAAUGGAAUAGGACCCUGUCCUCCUAUUUUCAGUUGGUUUUGGCAGCGCGAGGACUAGGGUAAUGAUUAAUAGGGAUAGUUGGGGGCAUUAAUAUUUAAUUGUCAGAGGUGAAAUUCUUGGAUUUAUGAAAGAUUAACUUCUGCGAAAGCAUCUGCCAAGGAUGUUUUCAUUAAUCAAGAACGAAAGUUAGGGGAUCGAAGACGAUCAGAUACCGUCGUAGUCUUAACCAUAAACGAUGCCGACCAGCGAUUAGGAGACGUUGAAUACAAAACACCACCAUCGGCGCGGUCGUCCUUGGCGUUCGUGUUCACGCACGGGC